GGCUGUAUCUGGGAACCACAGACAGAAUCAUGGAACUGACCAUCUUCAGUCUCAAAGUGCUGCCCUCACCACUACACCCAGGGGCAGGUGGUCUUCGGGGGAAAGGCGGUUCCAGUUCCUUCUCCCAAGCCAGUGAGGAAGUCAAUCCUGCGAACAACUGCAGGAACGGCCUUGGGAGUGGAUCCUUCCUCAGCCCGGCUCCAAGACAACUGCAGCCCUGUGAGAAACCCUGAGUGGAGGACCAAGCCAAGCCUCAAAUCGUGACUUGGAACUGGGAGACAACAGAUGCUGUUGGAAGCCACUGAGCUCUGAAGUAGUUUGUUACACAGUGACAGAAUCUAGGAUCUGGGGAAGGUAAACUGAGGCCACCAGUAAGCAUGUGCUCCAGGCCAAGGCUGAGUCUGUGCUGCAUCCAUGUCAUCAGCCACCCAAGAAAAACCAGUUACUCCACCUAGCUCAUGGUGGCGGCAUCCUCCCUGCAAUGGUGCAUGGGGGGCAGUCCUUUCCCCUGCAGGGUGUCAUUGCCACCCCCAUCCUCAUCCUGGAGGCCAGUCCAGGCUCCGAUAUGAGUGACUAGGGGUGAGGUAGGGGUGGCAGAAGGGAGAUCAAACUGGAGCAUUCCAGAUGCCUACUACUGCCCUCACACAACGGGGCAACUGUGCUCUCCAACUCCUCCCCUUGGCAGAGAAACUGGUCCUGCAGUUUCAGGACUAGACGAGCGUGGGGUAGUGGCAAUAAAGGGGCUUGUAUGAGAAGUG
RNAcentral lists this long non-coding RNA (758 nucleotides) under Homo sapiens (human). RNAcentral describes it as "UVRAG divergent transcript". Lineage: Eukaryota; Metazoa; Chordata; Mammalia; Primates; Hominidae. The record is from RNAcentral.